UCUAAUUUUUAAAGUUUGACAGAACUUUGUUUAUAGUCAAUUUAACUGUUUUCCCCCUUUGUAGUCAAUCAUUUGAGCCCAGAUUCUGCAAACAUUGACACAUGGCUAACUUUACCCAUGCCAUCUGUGAGAGGCAUAACUCACAGUGCUUUAAGUGUCCUCAGAAUUGAGACCUUAGUCAGUUUCUUCUGUCUGUUUGGGUCUCUCUCACAGCAACCAGUGAGGGAAAAACAUUUAAAAGAGGGAAUUGUAACAGGUGGCUUACCACUUAAUGGCUGGAGGCCAGCCCUGAUUACAAAACAGUCCCCACCUCUGAGGAAUCAGGCAAUUCCAGUAUAAAAUCAACAGGAAGGGGUAGGAGGUUGUCUAGAAAUCUGUGGCCAUGCCUGUAGAGAUUGAGGAUAUGUCUACACAAGAAUAGCACAGCUGCAGCUAUGCUACUGUACUGUAGACACUUGUUGCAGUGAUGGAAGGGUUUUUUCCAUUAUUGUAGUAAAUCUUCCCCUCUGAGGGGUGGCUGUGGCUAAGUCAAUGGAAGAAUUCUUCUGUGGAUUCGGUAUCCUGCUCUGUAUGUUGGGGUUUAUUUUGGCCAUCACAGUCAGCGUGCUGGACAAAGUGGGCAUGAAGCAGCUUGGCUUGGAUGGGGUUAUCCAGCAAGAGUCCAAGAAAGUGCGGGUUCAGGAUGGCUGACAACUGCCACUUCGCUACUGGCUCCUAGUCCUAACCAUCAUGUUCUUCUACAACGGGGUCUUCCCUUUCAUGGCAGAUGCCAGCAAGUUUAUCCAGGAUAAGUACUCUGGCUACAGUCAGCAGGCAGCCGCUUACAUUGCUGGGGCGGUAUAUGACAGCUCCCUUGUUCUCUCUGCAGCAGUUGGCAUAUUAAUUGACUGUGUAGGACUGAGAGGUUUGUUUGCAGUUCGUUGUGCUGUGCUGACUCCGCCAGUCUUUGCUCUCCUGGCAUUUACAUUUGUUCCUCCGCUUGUCUCUACCAUCUGUCUGGGGAUCACUUACUCCUUUGCUGCUGCGAGUCUGUGGCCAUCCAUACCCCUUGUGGUUCCCCAGCUUAUGUGGUGCACUUUUUGAAAUGGACUACACUACACUGUUUAGAGUCUAAACUCAAUCCACCUGAAGUUUGUUCUAAGCAACUAUAUGUCGUCUUCUAAUUCACCUUAAUUUAUCAUUAUAAAUGUGUCAAUAUAAGGUAUUUCAUUAAAAUAUCACUGCACCUUCACAGAAAGCUCCUCACACAGUGGCGUGAAUGGGUUGAGGAGCCUUCCAUUUCAAUAAUUGCUGUCGAUUGUCAAUGUCCUGUCACAAAUUUAUUGUGUGUGUAAAUAAGAUUGCCAUUUUGUCCUGGCAGAGGCUGCUGGGAUUGUUUUUACUUAUUUUAAAUUGGCAAGACCAAUUAUAUGAAAAGUAGCCAAACUUUUUGCUUAACACUCCACAAGCUGCAUUAUUCAGAUACAGAGAUGUUACCUUCAAAUGGUAUGAAACGGUUGAUUGAAAAUAAUAAAUAAACCCCUUAAAACCUGAACUUAUACUGUCAAUGCACAUUGAUCAUUGACUUGUCCGGAUGAGUAAAACAAUCAUCUUUACUAUGCAACCUCUUGAAUGGUGCUCUUAUAAGCAUUGAGGAUGAUGCUUCAAGUGCGUGCUAACUUCAUUGUUAAACAGCUGAGAGCAACCACCUGAAAGAUGAUUUGCUAAAAAAAACAGGUAUGGAAUUUGCUGCUUGUACAUGGUUGAACAAUUGCAGAGUAAAAUUACUAACUUCUGUAUUAAUGUGAGAACAGAAGGUGUACUGAUGAGUCCAAUAAAGUAACCUUUUCUAAAGUAAUUGUUACAGAGGAGAAAUCCUCUAU
RNA transcript from Chelonia mydas (Green sea turtle), 1862 nucleotides. It is a transcript of the gene named major facilitator superfamily domain-containing protein 1-like, with no coding region annotated. Lineage: Eukaryota; Metazoa; Chordata; Testudines; Cheloniidae. The record is from RefSeq and is a predicted model, not a curated record. The transcript has 6 exons.